RNAcentral lists this small RNA (277 nucleotides) under Phaeosphaeriaceae sp. SRC1lsM3a. Its description in RNAcentral is "Stagonospora sp. SRC1lsM3a 5' ureB small RNA". It matches the Rfam family "5' ureB small RNA". Lineage: Eukaryota; Fungi; Ascomycota; Dothideomycetes; Pleosporales; Phaeosphaeriaceae. The record is from Rfam by way of RNAcentral.
UCGUCUGCCUGCUGAGGGCAAAUCAGAUGGACAUGCGUGUCCACGCCGCCAGCCGUCACGAUUUGUCCUGAGGCAUCAAUCAUGUCUGUAUUAGACCCAAUGAUCAUCCCUGGGCUUAUUCCCAUGGUAGCCGGAUUGCCUGCUUUCCCAAUAGCCACGAUCUUGCCGUCCUUGAUGCCGAUGUCUGCUUUGUAGAUUCCAGUCCAGUCGAUCACCACUGCAUUCACGAUAGCGAGAUCGAGGCAUUCUGCAUUAGAACAUCCACUCGCCUGUCCGA